AAAGCGAAUAGUGAAAUCUGGGGGCUCAACCUCACAGGCUAUUAUUCGAACUCACUGACUCGAGAACAGCAGAGGUAACUGGAAUUUCUGAAGUAGGGGUAAUAUCCGUAGAUAUCAGAAGGAACACCAAUGGCGUAGGCAGGUUACUGGACCAUUUCUGACACUGAGGCACGAAAGCGUGGGGAGCGAACGGGAUUAGAUACCCCGGUAGUCCACGCCGUAAACGAUGGAUGCUA
This 236-nucleotide ribosomal RNA is filed under the name uncultured Candidatus Saccharibacteria bacterium. RNAcentral's name for it is "partial 16S ribosomal RNA". It matches the Rfam family "Bacterial small subunit ribosomal RNA", at positions 584 to 818 of the family's 1533-position model. The record is from RNAcentral. Lineage: Bacteria; Candidatus Saccharimonadota.